Molecule: ribosomal RNA, 494 nt
Filed under: uncultured bacterium
Lineage: Bacteria
Description: partial 16S ribosomal RNA
Rfam family: Bacterial small subunit ribosomal RNA
Source: RNAcentral
GACGAACGCUGGCGGCGUGCUUAACACAUGCAAGUCGAACGGUGAAGCGCCUUCCUUUUUGGUGGGUGUGGAUGAGUGGCGAACGGGUGAGUAACACGUUAGUAACCUGCCCCCUUCUUCUGGAUAACCGCAUGAAAGUGUGGCUAAUACGGGAUAUUCUGGGUCUGUCGCAUGAUGGGUCUGGGAAAGAUAUUGUUUCGGUUGUGGAUGGGCUCGCGGCCUAUCAGCUUGUUGGUGGGGUGAUGGCCUACCAAGGCGGUGACGGGUAGCCGGCCUGAGAGGGUGGACGGUCACACUGGGACUGAGACACGGCCCAGACUCCUACGGGAGGCAGCAGUGGGGAAUAUUGCACAAUGGGCGCAAGCCUGAUGCAGCGACGCCGCGUGAGGGAUGGAGGCCUUCGGGUUGUGAACCUCUUUCGCCAGUGAAGCAGGCCUGCCUCGUUUGUGGGUGGGUUGACGGUAGCUGGAUAAGAAGCGCCGGCUAACUACGUG